Molecule: long non-coding RNA, 280 nt
Organism: Mauremys mutica (yellowpond turtle)
Lineage: Eukaryota; Metazoa; Chordata; Testudines; Geoemydidae
Exons: 3
Source: RefSeq, a predicted model, not a curated record
CGCCCUGAGCGUUGUUAGAAAUCUCACGACGGCAGCCGCGAGGGCCAAAGCGCGAAGCCAAUGGGGCUGAGGAGAGCGGAGAGGCAGUAACUCGUCCGCGGGACUCACCAUUAUCUUCUAACAUCAGUCCAGAGGAAUGUUCCAUUUGAAGUUCAGUUGGAAAAGAAACAAGUUUGUGAAGAUUGACUCAAGAUCCAAAUGCCUGAUGAAUAACAGCAGAAACACGGAUCUCUAUCAAUAAAGACAUGAUGGAUCAACUUUUUGAAGGUUACGCUGACUC